This 468-nucleotide ribosomal RNA is filed under the name uncultured bacterium. RNAcentral describes it as "partial 16S ribosomal RNA". It matches the Rfam family "Bacterial small subunit ribosomal RNA", at positions 28 to 507 of the family's 1533-position model. The record is from RNAcentral.
GACGAACGCUGGCGGCGUGCUUAACACAUGCAAGUCGAACGGAAAGGCCCUGCUUUUGUGGGGUGCUCGAGUGGCGAACGGGUGAGUAACACGUGAGUAACCUGCCCUUGACUUUGGGAUAACUUCAGGAAACUGGGGCUAAUACCGGAUAGGAGCUCCUGCUGCAUGGUGGGGGUUGGAAAUUUUCGGUGGUUGGGGUUGGACUCGCGGCUUAUCAGCUUGUUGGUGGGGUAGUGGCUUACCAAGGCUUUGACGGGUAGUCGGCCUGAGAGGGUGACCGGCCACAUUGGGACUGAGAUACGGCGCAGACUGCUACGGGAGGCAGCAGUGGGGAAUAUUGCACAAUGGGCGGAAGCCUGAUGCAGCAACGCCGCGUGCGGGAUGACGGCCUUCGGGUUGUAAACCGCUUUCGCCUGUGACGAAGCGUGAGUGACGGUAAUGGGUAAAGAAGCACCGGCUAACUACGUG